This 274-nucleotide ribosomal RNA is filed under the name uncultured bacterium. RNAcentral's name for it is "partial 16S ribosomal RNA". It matches the Rfam family "Bacterial small subunit ribosomal RNA", at positions 523 to 796 of the family's 1533-position model. The record is from RNAcentral.
AUACGGAGGGUGCAAGCGUUAUUCGGAAUCACUGGGCGUAAAGGACGCGUAGGCGGGUUGGCAAGUCAGAUGUGAAAUCCUACAGCUUAACUGUAGAACUGCAUUUGAAACUGCUAACCUAGAGUAUGGGAGGGGGAGAUGGAAUUAGUGGUGAAGGGGUAAAAUCCGUAGAUAUCACUAGGAAUACCGAAAGCGAAGGCGAUCUCCUGGAACAUAACUGACGCUCAGGCGUGAAAGCGUGGGGAGCAAACAGGAUUAGAAACCCUUGUAGUCC